CCUACGGGGUGCAGCAGUGAGGAAUAUUGGUCAAUGGACGAGAGUCUGAACCAGCCAAGUAGCGUGAAGGAUGACUGCCCUAUGGGUUGUAAACUUCUUUUAUAUGGGAAUAAAAUGUUCCACGUGUGGGAUUUUGUAUGUACCAUAUGAAUAAGGAUCGGCUAACUCCGUGCCAGCAGCCGCGGUAAUACGGAGGAUCCGAGCGUUAUCCGGAUUUAUUGGGUUUAAAGGGAGCGUAGGUGGAUUGUUAAGUCAGUUGUGAAAGUUUGCGGCUCAACCGUAAAAUUGCAGUUGAAACUGGCAGUCUUGAGUACAGUAGAGGUGGGCGGAAUUCGUGGUGUAGCGGUGAAAUGCUUAGAUAUCACGAAGAACUCUGAUUGCGAAGGCAGUUCACUGGACUGCAACUGACACUGAGGCUCGAAAGUGUGGGUAUCAAACAGGAUUAGAUACCCCAGUAGUC
This 460-nucleotide ribosomal RNA is filed under the name uncultured bacterium. RNAcentral describes it as "partial 16S ribosomal RNA". It matches the Rfam family "Bacterial small subunit ribosomal RNA", at positions 338 to 795 of the family's 1533-position model. The record is from RNAcentral.